This 468-nucleotide ribosomal RNA is filed under the name uncultured bacterium. RNAcentral's name for it is "partial 16S ribosomal RNA". It matches the Rfam family "Bacterial small subunit ribosomal RNA", at positions 28 to 507 of the family's 1533-position model. The record is from RNAcentral.
GACGAACGCUGGCGGCGUGCUUAACACAUGCAAGUCGAACGGAAAGGCCCUGCUUUUGUGGGGUGCUCGAGUGGCGAACGGGUGAGUAACACGUGAGUAACCUGUCCCUGACUUUGGGAUAACUUCAGGAAACUGGGGCUAAUACCGGAUAGGAGCUCCUGCUGCAUGGUGGGGGUUGGAAAGUUUCGGCGGUUGGGGAUGGACUCGCGGCUUAUCAGCUUGUUGGUGGGGUAGUGUCUUACCAAGGCUUUGACGGGUAGCCGGCCUGGUAGGGUGACCUGCCACAUUGGGACGGGGAUACGACCCAGACUCCUACGGGAGGCAACAGUGGGGAAGAUUGCACAAUGGGCGGAAGCCUGAUGCAGCAACGCAGCGUGCGGGAUGACGGCCUUCGGGUUGUAAACCGCUUUCGCCUGUGACGAAGCGUGAGUGACGGUAAUGGGUAAAGAAGCACCGGCUAACUACGUG